AUGAACGCUGGCGGCGUGCCUAAUACAUGCAAGUCGAGCGAACAGAUGAGGAGCUUGCUCCUCUGACGUUAGCGGCGGACGGGUGAGUAACACGUGGAUAACCUACCUAUAAGACUGGGAUAACUUCGGGAAACCGGAGCUAAUACCGGAUAAUAUAUUGAACCGCAUGGUUCAAUAGUGAAAGACGGUUUUGCUGUCACUUAUAGAUGGAUCCGCGCCGCAUUAGCUAGUUGGUAAGGUAACGGCUUACAAAGGCAACGACGCGUAGCCGGCCUGAGAGGGUGACCGGCAACAGUGGGAAGGAGAUAGGGCCCAGACUCAUACGGGAGGCAGCAGUGGGGAAUAUUGAAAAAUGGGUGGAAGAAUGAAGCAGAAAAGAAGCGUGCGGGAUGACUGCCUUCGGGUUGUAAACCGCUUUCGACGGUGAAGAAGAGGGAGUGAGGGUAAUGGGUAAAGAAGAAACGGCUAAGUACGUG
Molecule: ribosomal RNA, 476 nt
Filed under: uncultured bacterium
Lineage: Bacteria
Description: partial 16S ribosomal RNA
Rfam family: Bacterial small subunit ribosomal RNA
Source: RNAcentral